GUUUGAUUCAUGGCUCAGGACGAACGCUGGCGGCGUGGCCUAAAUACAUGCAAGUCGAACGAACUCUGGUAUUGAUUGGUGCUUGCAUCAUGAUUUACAUUUGAGUGAGUGGGCGAACUGGUGAGUAACACGGUGGGAAACCUGCCCAGAAGCGGGGGAUAACACCUGGAAACAGAUGCUAAUACCGCAUAACAACUUGGACCGCAUGGUCCGAGCUUGAAAGAUGGCUUCGGCUAUCACUUUUGGAUGGUCCCGCGGCGUAUUAGCUAGAUGGUGGGGUAACGGCUCACCAUGGCAAUGAUACGUAGCGAGACCUGAGAGGGUAAUCGGCCACAUUGGGACUGAGACACGGCCCAAACUCCUACGGGAGGCAGCAGUAGGGAAUCUUCCACAAUGGACGAAAGUCUGAUGGAGCAACGCCGCGUGAGUGAAGAAGGGUUUCGGCUCGUAAAACUCUGUUGUUAAAGAAGAACAUAUCUGAGAGUAACUGUUCAGGUAUUGACGGUAUUUAACCAGAAAGCCACGGCUAACUACGUGCCAGCAGCCGCGGUAAUACGUAGGUGGCAAGCGUUGUCCGGAUUUAUUGGGCGUAAAGCGAGCGCAGGCGGUUUUUUAAGUCUGAUGUGAAAGCCUUCGGCUCAACCGAAGAAGUGCAUCGGAAACUGGGAAACUUGAGUGCAGAAGAGGACAGUGGAACUCCAUGUGUAGCGGUGAAAUGCGUAGAUAUAUGGAAGAACACCAGUGGCGAAGGCGGCUGUCUGGUCUGUAACUGACGCUGAGGCUCGAAAGUAUGGGUAGCAAACAGGAUUAGAUACCCUGGUAGUCCAUACCGUAAAACAGUGAAGGCUAAGUGUUGGAGGGUUUCCGCCCUUCAGUGCUGCAG
This 883-nucleotide ribosomal RNA is filed under the name Lactiplantibacillus plantarum. Its description in RNAcentral is "bacterial SSU rRNA". It matches the Rfam family "Bacterial small subunit ribosomal RNA", at positions 11 to 851 of the family's 1533-position model. The record is from RNAcentral. Lineage: Bacteria; Bacillati; Bacillota; Bacilli; Lactobacillales; Lactobacillaceae.